RNAcentral lists this long non-coding RNA (206 nucleotides) under Ictidomys tridecemlineatus (thirteen-lined ground squirrel). RNAcentral describes it as "lncRNA (ENSSTOG00000033338.1)". Lineage: Eukaryota; Metazoa; Chordata; Mammalia; Rodentia; Sciuridae. The record is from RNAcentral.
CGCUGGUCUUCCAGGUAGGAGGGGCGGAUUUCCUGACUGUUCCUGACUGCACACAUGUGUGAUCACAGGAGCCGCAGUUCAGCUGAGAUGAUGCGGGUUUCAAGGAAGUCCUUUAUCAAGGCUGCAAGGGCCAGACACCCUGAGGCAUGUGGCCCUACUCAUGAAGGUGAGUAGGGCUCUCCUGGGUGCAGGAAGCUGACACUAUU